AAGGAGCGGUGGACUGAUUACGAGUGAGAAUGUUGGCAUUAGUAGCGAGAUGUAGGUGAGAAUCCUACAGGCCGAAUAUCUAAGGUUUCCUCAGGAAGGCUCGUCCGCUGAGGGUUAGUCGGGACCUAAGCCGAGGCCGAAAGGCGUAGGCGAUGGACAAUCGGUUGAUAUUCCGAUACCACUACCAUCGUUAUUAUCGAGGGUGUGACGGAGAAGGAUAGUGUGUGCUAGCGAUUGGAAAUGCUAGUCUAAGCGUUUAGGGAGUUACGGUAGGCAAAUCCGCUGUAACAAUUCUGAGGCGUGAUGGGGAAGGUCAUUAAGACCGAAGUACAUGAUUCCAUGCUUCCAAGAAAAGCAUCUAGAGAGAGAAGUAGUGCCCGUACCGCAAACCGACACAGGUAGAUGAGGAGAGAAUCCUAAGGCCGGCGGAAGAAUUGCAGUUAAGGAACUAGGCAAAUUGACCCCGUAAGUUCGCGAGAAGGGGUGCCUGCGAGAGCAGGCCGCAGAGAAUAGGCCCAAGCAACUGUUUAGCAAAAACACAGGUCUCUGCUAAAGCGUAAGCUGAUGUAUAGGGGCUGACGCCUGCCCGGUGCUGGAAGGUUAAGGGGAACACUUAGCGCAAGCGAAGGUGUGAACUUAAGCCCCAGUAAACGGCGGCCGUAACUAUAACGGUCCUAAGGUAGCGAAAUUCCUUGUCAGGUAAGUUCUGACCCGCACGAAUGGCGUAAUGACUUGGGCACUGUCUCAACUGCAAAUCCGGCGAAGUUGUAGUGCGAGUGAAGAUGCUCGCUACCCGCGAUUGGACGGAAAGACCCCGUAGAGCUUUACUGUAGCUUAGCAUUGAAUUCCGGUAUUGUCUGUACAGGAUAGGUGGGAGACUGGGAAACUAGGGCGUCAGCCUUAGUGGAGUCAACCUUGGGAUACCACCCUGACAGUACUGGGGUUCUAACAGGACGCCAUGAAGCUGGUGACUGGACAUUGUUAGGUGGGCAGUUUGACUGGGGCGGUCGCCUCCUAAAAAGUAACGGAGGCGCCCAAAGGUUCCCUCAGAACGGUCGGAAAUCGUUCGUAGAGUGCAAAGGCAGAAGGGAGCCUGACUGCGAGACCCACAAGUCGAGCAGGGACGAAAGUCGGGCUUAGUGAUCCGGUGGUACCUCGUGGGAGGGCCAUCGCUCAACGGAUAAAAGCUACCUCGGGGAUAACAGGCUGAUCUCCCCCAAGAGUCCACAUCGACGGGGAGGUUUGGCACCUCGAUGUCGGCUCGUCGCAUCCUG
This 1274-nucleotide ribosomal RNA is filed under the name human gut metagenome. RNAcentral's name for it is "bacterial LSU rRNA". It matches the Rfam family "Bacterial large subunit ribosomal RNA", at positions 1265 to 2549 of the family's 2925-position model. The record is from RNAcentral.